This 253-nucleotide ribosomal RNA is filed under the name uncultured bacterium. RNAcentral describes it as "partial 16S ribosomal RNA". It matches the Rfam family "Bacterial small subunit ribosomal RNA", at positions 524 to 776 of the family's 1533-position model. The record is from RNAcentral.
UACGGAGGGUGCAACCGUUGCUCGGAAUCAUUGGGCGUAAAGCGCACGUAGGCGGCGCGUUAAGUCGGGUGUGAAAGCCCUGGGCUCAACCCAGGAAGUGCAUUCGAAACUGGCGCGCUUGAAUAUGGAAGAGGGUCGCGGAAUUCCCGGUGUAGAGGUGAAAUUCGUAGAUAUCGGGAGGAACACCAGUGGCGAAGGCGGCGACCUGGGCCAAUAUUGACGCUGAGGUGCGAAAGCGUGGGGAGCAAACAGG